UACGUAGGGUGCGAGCGUUGUCCGGAAUUACUGGGCGUAAAGAGCUCGUAGGUGGUUUGUCGCGUUGUUCGUGAAAACUCACAGCUUAACUGUGGGCGUGCGGGCGAUACGGGCAGACUGGAGUACUGCAGGGGAGACUGGAAUUCCUGGUGUAGCGGUGGAAUGCGCAGAUAUCAGGAGGAACACCGGUGGCGAAGGCGGCAUCCUGGACCGGUAUUGACGCUGAGGAGCGAAAGCCAGGGGAGCAAACGGG
This 253-nucleotide ribosomal RNA is filed under the name uncultured bacterium. Its description in RNAcentral is "partial 16S ribosomal RNA". It matches the Rfam family "Bacterial small subunit ribosomal RNA", at positions 524 to 776 of the family's 1533-position model. The record is from RNAcentral.